This 543-nucleotide transfer RNA is filed under the name uncultured Prochlorococcus sp. RNAcentral describes it as "partial 16S-23S ribosomal RNA intergenic spacer". The stretch from base 212 to 284 matches the Rfam family "tRNA". Lineage: Bacteria; Bacillati; Cyanobacteriota; Cyanophyceae; Synechococcales; Prochlorococcaceae. The record is from RNAcentral.
CAGGGAGACAACAAAAUGUUAAAUAUUAAUUUUGUCACCUUAGGUCGAUCGGUAUCUCAUGUUCUUAAUUAUUUUAAGAAUUUCAUUUCCUAAGUUUUUUCUAGGUCACACCCAUUACUUUUCCUGGGCCAUUAGCUCAGGUGGUUAGAGCGCACCCCUGAUAAGGGUGAGGUCCCUGGUUCAAGUCCAGGAUGGCCCAUAUCUCUAUGUUGGGGGUAUAGCUCAGUUGGUAGAGCGCCUGCUUUGCAAGCAGGAUGUCAGCGGUUCGAGUCCGCUUACCUCCACUGAUUACCACCUCUUACAUAAAUUUAAAGAAGGGAAUUGUUAAUAUAGGUGAUUUAGUUCUGAACGAAUCUAGCUUCCUAAUAAAUACAUUAAGAUGCUGGACUCAUUGAAUUUUAUUCAUUGUUUUCAGAGAACCUUGACAACUGCAUAGAUUAUUUUUAAAGACAAUAAGCAUCUUUAAUGAUGCAGAUUUAUUAUUUGUGCUAAUGCAUUAAUAACAAUUCUAUUGAGCUGAUGCUUCAAUUUUUUGAAGUUAUU